This 494-nucleotide ribosomal RNA is filed under the name uncultured bacterium. Its description in RNAcentral is "bacterial SSU rRNA". It matches the Rfam family "Bacterial small subunit ribosomal RNA", at positions 28 to 526 of the family's 1533-position model. The record is from RNAcentral.
GACGAACGCUGGCGGCGUGCUUAACACAUGCAAGUCGAGCGGAAAGGCCCUUUCGGGGGUACUCGAGCGGCGAACGGGUGAGUAACACGUGAGUAAUCUGCCCUGUGCUCUGGGAUAGCCACCGGAAACGGUGAUUAAUACCGGAUAUGACGCCUUGCUGCAUGGUGGGGUGUGGAAAGUAUUUUCGGCGCAGGAUGUGCUCGCGGCCUAUCAGCUUGUUGGUGGGGUAAUGGCCUACCAAGGCUUUGACGGGUAGCCGGCCUGAGAGGGUGACCGGUCACACUGGGACUGAGACACGGCCCAGACUCCUACGGGAGGCAGCAGUGGGGAAUAUUGGACAAUGGGCGGAAGCCUGAUCCAGCAACGCCGCGUGAGGGAUGACGGCCUUCGGGUUGUAAACCUCUUUCAGCAUCGACGAAGCGAUCCUUUGUGGGGAGUGACGGUAGGUGCAGAAGAAGGACCGGCCAACUACGUGCCAGCAGCCGCCGUAACAC